This 256-nucleotide long non-coding RNA is filed under the name Pelobates cultripes (western spadefoot toad). Lineage: Eukaryota; Metazoa; Chordata; Amphibia; Anura; Pelobatidae. The record is from RNAcentral.
ACCACAUACACCCUUACAGUCCCACCGCACUAAAUCAACAGCUACUUCCUCUUAAGGACAUUUAGGGAUAGCGUCUGUCUCUACGGGCAGAAGUCUGUCGCGGGAAGAAGUAGUGGACAAGCUGCUACAGGUUACCCGCGCAGUGAAGUGUUCGAGGCCUGUUCAGACAGAUGUGCAAGAUAGCCUUUUGUUAUUUUUCUAUAGGGACAGUAUUAGAACGAGAGAUAGUAGUUUUAGUAAAAAUUGCCAUUUUAAG